Molecule: ribosomal RNA, 253 nt
Filed under: uncultured bacterium
Lineage: Bacteria
Description: partial 16S ribosomal RNA
Rfam family: Bacterial small subunit ribosomal RNA
Source: RNAcentral
UACGUAGGGGGCAAGCGUUAUCCGGAUUUACUGGGUGUAAAGGGAGCGUAGACGGCAGAGCAAGUCUGAAGUGAAAGCCCGCGGCCCAACUGCGGGACUGCUUUGGAAACUGCCCGGCUAGAGUGCUGGAGAGGUAAGCGGAAUUCCUAGUGUAGCGGUGAAAUGCGUAGAUAUUAGGAGGAACACCAGUGGCGAAGGCGGCUUACUGGACAGUAACUGACGUUGAGGCUCGAAGGCGUGGGGAGCAAACAGG